Molecule: long non-coding RNA, 545 nt
Organism: Lolium rigidum
Lineage: Eukaryota; Viridiplantae; Streptophyta; Magnoliopsida; Poales; Poaceae
Exons: 4
Source: RefSeq, a predicted model, not a curated record
AGUGCAAAAGACUGAAUUGCCCUUAUGCCCAUCCUGCAUUGGUGCCUUCUUCCACUCAGGCUUCUCCACAGCCAUGGUGAUGGUGGUGUGCACCCCUGGCAGUCUGAGACCACCUAAUUCGGAGUACGGGACAGCAGCCACUGUGUUGCCCAACUGAAGCCACCAGGGCUUGGGCCAUGGCCACCACACAACGCGCGUUAUCUAAGUCGUCGUCACCGCCUGCGUUUGCCUGGUAGUUAAGGAUGCAGCCGCGGUUGCUUGCACAAACCAAACUGCAGCCACUAGGCCAGAUGGUGUGACAGAUGCAGCUGGAGCGGUGGACGCUGAUGGUUAGCAACUUAGCACAAUGAGAUGGUGUUUUUCUCCAGUGAAACUAACGCAAAGGAAAGAGGAUGCCUCUGGUUGGAGGAAACUUGAAGGGCUAUGAUAUCCUCAAGUGAAGAUUAUUUUUGGUGGUGGAUAUAUUGCUGUUGAGUUUGCUUCUAUCUGGAGAGGCUUAGGUGGUGAAGUAGACUUGUUUUAUAGAAAAGAACUUCCUCUGAGGU